RNAcentral lists this small RNA (125 nucleotides) under Marmota monax (woodchuck). The record is from RNAcentral. Lineage: Eukaryota; Metazoa; Chordata; Mammalia; Rodentia; Sciuridae.
GCCGGGUGUGGUGACGCACGCCUGUAAUCCCAGUGGCUCGGGAGGUUGAGGCAGGAGGAUUGCGAGUUCAAAGCCAGCCUCAGCAAUAGCGAGGUGCUAAGCAACUCAGUGAGAUCCAGUCUCUA